This is a non-coding RNA of Cherax quadricarinatus, 493 nucleotides long. The record is from RefSeq and is a predicted model, not a curated record. Lineage: Eukaryota; Metazoa; Arthropoda; Malacostraca; Decapoda; Parastacidae.
GCGCACUACCCGAUUUUUUUCGGCUGUAAAUUUGGCUUUGUGUUCGCGGCCGUAAUGGCAGGACUUGCCGGAGGUCUCUACGACGUGUACAAGAGUCAAGUGAAGAUGUUCAUGCCAGAUUCAGAGUCGAAUCCGAACACUGUUCAUCAUUUACGUGAACAGCAGCAGCAGCAGCAGCAGCAGCAUCAACGACAGCAGUAUCCUCCACUGUAUAACGUUCAUCCUCACCAUCAAAAUCCCUAUCCUCCAGUCUACCACCAAGCCUAAUAACCAGCCGCUACACCUGUCUAGUGAGGGUACUGCUAAAACACCUGUCUAGUGAGAAUGCUGCUAAAACACCUGUCUAGUGAGGGUGCUGCUGAAACACCUGUCUAGUGAGUGAGGGUGCUGCUGCUAAAUUAUUAUAAUGAAAAAUGAAGUGCUGAACCCACAAGGGUCAUACAGCGCUGCUGCUGGAAUAUAAAAAUAAUCACAUUAAAACAGUAGAAAAAUC